CAGCUCUCCGAGUGGUAGGGAUGAUUAUUGGGCUUAAAGCGUCCGUAGCCGGCUUAGCAAGUCUCCUGUUAAAUUCAACGACCUAAUCGUUGAGCCGCGGGAGAUACUACUAGGCUAGGAGGCGGGAGAGGUCGACGGUACUUCUGGGGUAGGGGUGAAAUCCUAUAAUCCCGGGAGGACCACCAGUGGCGAAGGCUGUCGACUAGAACGCGCUCGACGGUGAGGGACGAAAGCUGGGGGAGCGAACCGGAUUAGAUACCCGAGUAGUCC
RNAcentral lists this ribosomal RNA (270 nucleotides) under uncultured archaeon. RNAcentral's name for it is "partial 16S ribosomal RNA". It matches the Rfam family "Archaeal small subunit ribosomal RNA", at positions 477 to 747 of the family's 1478-position model. The record is from RNAcentral.